AUUUUCAUUAAUACCAGGCUUAGUUCGAUCACAAAUAAACUUAAUUUAAAUAAUCUGCUCCUCGAGGGAAUUACAAAUGAGGCACUGAAGUCGACGGGCGACUUCCAAGCGAAGUUGACGAAAAUAUUGGAUAAAGAAAAUGCUCCUAUGCCAGCAAAAAUGGUACGCUUAUUAUUAGUAUCUUUAUUUAAAAAUAUACUAAAAAGUAAAUAAUUACUAGUGGAUAUAACUAAUAGUGCGCUCUAAUAUCAUUCAGAAGGAACAUUUCAAAUAUGAAUUUCUAUUAAAAGUUAGUUUA
Molecule: long non-coding RNA, 298 nt
Organism: Cydia fagiglandana
Lineage: Eukaryota; Metazoa; Arthropoda; Insecta; Lepidoptera; Tortricidae
Exons: 4
Source: RefSeq, a predicted model, not a curated record